CGCCGAUAGCAUGGAUAGGCUCAGAGGGGCGCAGGGUUUUGGCGGCUUCCCGAGUUCCCCUCGCCGACCGCCAUGUCACAUCUUACGGAAGAGGCGGGGGCUGCCGCGGAGAGGAUAUUUUUUGUUUUGUUUUGUUUUCACAAGAAUCACCUGGAUGCUUCUAAAGAGGAUGUCUACCAGACCCCAUGCCGCACUAAUUAGCUCAGAAGUGGGAACCCUUCUGUGGAAUGCAUCAGUUAAAAUCUCAAGAAACCCCGAGGCAGAGGAUUAAGAGAUACUGAAGAGAAGAUGAGUCUGUGUGCAUUUAUCUGUGCUUAGCCUGCUCCGAAUGGGAACUCAGCUCUCAAAUGAAGACAAGACUGCUCACUCCUGCAGAAAAUGACCUUGUUCUUGAGAGCUGCUGCUAAUUUACAGUGAGGCACUAGGUUUCUACCCAGUGCCACGUGAGCAACCAAUCCAUCUACCCAGGGGCACGGCACUGACGAGCAGCAUCAUUUAGAAGGAAAGAAGUAUGGGUGGUGUUUGUUGUUUCCUGUGUGUUAAGGAAAAUCCAGUGAGAACCCAGCAUCCCUGGAUGUUAAGGACAGGGGUGGCAUCUCUCAUUUGCCAUAGCAGUUCUGCAGUAGAGAAGUCCCCGCCAUCUGCAUCAGUUGCGGUGAUGCUGGAAGAGGAGGCUCCAUUCCCUGGACCAUUUUCUGACCCUUCUCUAGGCUCCAAUUCUAUAAGCGCCCAAUCCCCUCUGCCUAAGACAGCUGCAGGUGACAGGUCAGAUGGUGCAGCUACAGAGGUGCGUGCUGUCAAGGCUGAUGCCUUGGGCUGGAUCCCUGGGACCCACAGUGGAAGGAGAGAACUAGCUCCUCACGAGCUCUGUCCUCAUGUGCUGUGUGUGGCAGUAGGCGCACACACCUCAUGUGCUGUGUGUGGCAGUAGGCGCACACACCUCAUGUGCUGUGUGUGGCAGCAGGCGCACACACCCAGAGAGGAGUGAGUGAAAAAUGAGAAGGCACUACGGCUGGAAAGACGUCACUCCUAUAACAUACUUCUCCCAUGGAAAUUAAAACUAGACCUAUAAUGUUUUGUUUCUUUUUAAAAAUUGGAGGUGAAUAUGUAAAUGUGUUAAAGUCAGGAGAGUGAGACCAUGGUUGUCAUUUAUUUUAUAUUUUCAAUAGUUUCAAAUUGUAAAAUUUUAAUGUUAUGAUAUAAGUCUGUGAAUGUCUAAUUUUAAUAGGCUUUUACUUAUGUAUUUACCCCAAAGUAAUUUAAGUCUUAAAAUCUUAUGUAA
This 1282-nucleotide long non-coding RNA is filed under the name Mus musculus (house mouse). RNAcentral's name for it is "RIKEN cDNA E130307A14 gene". Lineage: Eukaryota; Metazoa; Chordata; Mammalia; Rodentia; Muridae. The record is from RNAcentral.